Molecule: non-coding RNA, 2419 nt
Organism: Oryctolagus cuniculus (rabbit)
Lineage: Eukaryota; Metazoa; Chordata; Mammalia; Lagomorpha; Leporidae
Source: RefSeq, a predicted model, not a curated record
GGGGGGGGCCACGAUGCACAGGGGGCUCAGGAAGGCUGUGGGUGUCGGUGGGGGGGCACACUGCACAGGGCUCCAGGAAGGCUGUGGGGGUCGGGGGGGGCCACAAUGCACAGGGGGCUCAGGAAGGCUGUGGGUGUCGGGGGGGGCACGCUGCACAGGGCUCCAGGAAGGCUGUGGGUGUCGGGGCCACGCUGCACAGGGCUCCAGGAAGGCUGUGGGUGUCGGGGGGGGCAUGCUGCACGGGGCUCCAGGAAGGCUGUGGGUGUCGGGGGGGCCAUGCUGCACGGGGCUCCAGGAAGGCUGUGGGUGUCGGGGGGGGGCAUGCUGCACGGGGCUCCAGGAAGGCUGUGGGGGUCGGGGGGGCACACUGCACAGGGCUCCAGGAAGGCUGUGGGUGUCGGGGGGGCACGCUGCACAGGGCUCCAGGAAGGCUGUGGGUGUCGGGGCCACGCUGCACAGUGCUCCAGGAAGGCUGUGGGGGUCGGGGGGGCACGCUGCACAGGGCUCCAGGAAGGCUGUGGGGGUCGGGGGGGGCAUGCUGCACGGGGCUCCAGGAAGGCUGUGGGUGUCGGGGGGGCCAUGCUGCACGGGGCUCCAGGAAGGCUGUGGGUGUCGGGGGGGCCAUGCUGCACGGGGCUCCAGGAAGGCUGUGGGGGUCGGGGGGGGCAUGCUGCACAGGGCUCCAGGAAGGCUGUGGGGGUCGGGGGGGAGGCAUGCUGCACGGGGCUCCAGGAAGGCUGUGGGGGUCGGGGGGGCACGCUGCACAGGGCUCCAGGAAGGCUAUGGGGGUCGGGGGGGAGGCAUGCUGCACGGGGCUCCAGGAAGGCUGUGGGUGUCGGGGGGGGCAUGCUGCACAGGGCUCCAGGAAGGCUGGCGUCCUCCCUGUCUCCCAGCCGAGGGGGUCGGCCCCGUGCCCUGUUCUGCCCAGCAGCGAGCUGGGUGAGGGGCGACCACAGAAGGAAGAAGUUGGGACCCCUGAGGGGCAGCUGGACAGGGUCGGAGACAGCCGCUGCCCAUCCGCGUCACCAGCCCUGCCCGAGGCGGACACGAGUGAGGCUGUCCCGGAGGUGCCAGCUUGGGGUGAGGCUGUGGUACUGGCUGCUGGCUGCUGGCUGCUGGGUGAGGCAGGGAGCUCCCCUAGACGGGCUGAGAAGAGCUGCCUACCAUGGCCUUGGUAAGGACCUGCGCCGGUACCACCUGGGCAGAGGAGAGCUGGGGCCUGGGGCCUGGGACGUGGGGGGCCACUCAGCCAGAGGCCUCUCCCCAGGUCUGGCCUCCCCCUCCCCCGCCGCUCAGGCCAGACUGCGGUGAGGCCCGAGGCAGGGGCAGCUGUGGGUGAGGUCUGCGGCCCACAGGCCAGGCGUCUGACCUCCCCUGGGGCCUUGGCCGGGUCACAGUUGCCCUCUGUUCCUCACUGGCCAGGCUGGGCCAUCACCAGGGUCACCUUCACUGGCUGAUGGGGCACCACACCCUUCACCAGGAGCCCAGAGCCGGGCGGGAAUGUGAGUGCUUCUGGGGCAGGGCCAGGGCUUGCCGUGUUUCAAAUCUACCCAGGCGAGAUGCAAAAGGGCCACCACGUGGGCGCCUUCUCUUCUGCCCCCAGGCCCCCUCCACACCCGCGGGGCCCUGGGCGGCGUUGCCUGCUGCAGGUAAGCCCGCAGGGCUUGUGUUCUCUCGUCCGGGCAGGCAGUGCCUCGCACCCAGGCCGACUGCUCCGGCCCCGUCCUCCGACUGGAGUAACACCGCUCUUGUCCCCAGGAGGCGGGUGCGGAGGCUUCCGGCUGGGCCACGGGACCAUUUGAUGCUGGUGGUGGAGGUGCCCCAGCAGCUACCUCCAGUGUGCGGCCGGCCCGGCGGCCAACCUGGUGCUGCAGGCAAGGGCACAGCUCCACCAGCUGAGUAUGCCCGCGGCCGGAGGCCAGGACAGGCUGACCCCCAGGAGCUGCAGGGGGCCCGGCCGGGGUGGCCCCACCAGCUCAGGUACAGGGGUGCGUGUGCAGGGCCGCGCAGGGCCUCACGUGUGGGUGGCGCCGACCCCUGCGCGCGUCCUCUUGUAGGUGGACCUCCUGGACUGCAGGGGCUGCAAGCGCAUGGGGAGACGCAGGCCGACCGCCCCGGGGCAAGGCAGCCACUCUCUGGGGCGUGGUUGGACCUGGGCCUGGACAGCGGCCCCUGGAAACCGUGUAUGAGCACUCGAGAGACGCGACCUCGCGUGCCCGAGGCCCCGGCCCCCCCUCCGCCCGAGGGUGGCAUGGACACCUGCGAGGGGGCUCCCACCUGUUCGUUCCCCCGCAGGCCUUACAAGACCUCACCCCGCCCCGAGCACCCCAGCACGUGCAUCCGCCGCUGACCCCACAAGGCCCGGACAGCCGGGCCGCGAGCCUCGUCCUAAUAAACCGCAUUUAUCAGGAACAUGAAA